This 493-nucleotide ribosomal RNA is filed under the name uncultured bacterium. RNAcentral's name for it is "partial 16S ribosomal RNA". It matches the Rfam family "Bacterial small subunit ribosomal RNA", at positions 30 to 523 of the family's 1533-position model. The record is from RNAcentral.
AUUGAACGCUGGCGGCAUGCCUUGCACAUGCAAGUCGAACGGUAACAGGUUAAGCUGACGAGUGGCGAACGGGUGAGUAAUGUAUCGGAACGUGCCCAGUCGUGGGGGAUAACGUAGCGAAAGCUAGGCUAAUACCGCAUACGAUCUACGGACGAAAGCGGGGGAUCGCAAGACCUCGCGCGAUUGGAGCGGCGCAUAUCAGAUUAGGUUGUGUGUGAGGUAAAAGCUCACCAAGCCUGCGAUCUGUACCGGGUCUGAGAGGACGACUAGCCACACUGGAACUGCGACACGGUCCAGACUCCUACGUGAGGCAGCAGUGGGGAAUUUUGGACAAUGGACGCGAGUCUGAUCCAGCAAUGCCGCGUGCAGGACGAAGGCCUUCGGGUUGUAAACUGCUUUUGUACGGAACGAAACGGUGAGCUCUAAUACAGUUUGCUAAUGACGGUACCGUAAGAAUAAGCACCGGCUAACUACGUGCCAGCAGCCGCCGUAA